This 472-nucleotide ribosomal RNA is filed under the name uncultured Glomus. RNAcentral's name for it is "SSU rRNA". It matches the Rfam family "Eukaryotic small subunit ribosomal RNA", at positions 569 to 1046 of the family's 1831-position model. Lineage: Eukaryota; Fungi; Glomeromycota; Glomeromycetes; Glomerales; Glomeraceae. The record is from RNAcentral.
AGCAGCCGCGGUAAUUCCAGCUCCAAUAGCGUAUAUUAAAGUUGUUGCAGUUAAAAAGCUCGUAGUUGAAUUUCGAGAUCGAAUUGUUGGUCGUGCCUCGGUACGUACUGGCAUUAUUGAUUUCUCCUUUCUGAAGAACCUUGAUGUCAUUAAUUUGGUGUCUCGGGGAAUCAGGACCGUUACUUUGAAAAAAUUAGAGUGUUUAAAGCAGGCUCACGCUUGAAUACAUUAGCAUGGAAUAAUGAAAUAGGACGUUUGAUUCUAUUUUGUUGGUUUCUAGGAUCGACGUAAUGAUUAAUAGGGAUAGUUGGGGGCAUUAGUAUUCAAUUGUCAGAGGUGAAAUUCUUGGAUUUAUUGAAGACUAACUACUGCGAAAGCAUUUGCCAAGGAUGUUUUCAUUAAUCAAGAACGAAAGUUAGGGGAUCGAAGACGAUCAGAUACCGUCGUAGUCUUAACCAUAAACUAUGCCGAC